RNAcentral lists this long non-coding RNA (487 nucleotides) under Homo sapiens (human). RNAcentral's name for it is "HSALNT0078955". Lineage: Eukaryota; Metazoa; Chordata; Mammalia; Primates; Hominidae. The record is from RNAcentral.
CAACUUCUGGCACCUGUUGUCGCAGUUUUCUGAGUGCCCACUGAGCUAUCCACAAGCUGGCCUCCUCUGAGGAGUACAACACUCCCAAACUACUUCUCUCAGCUUCCACCUAACUCUGCAGAACUCCCUUCCUUUAGCGAGACCAAACUUAGCUAGCAGUUAGAGGUCACCCAACUGUGCCAAUUCCUACUAAAUUGUAACAGAAAGCCCCCAGACCUCUGCAAUUGAAAAAGAAUCAGCCAUACUUACCACCACUAGUACAAGAAGAAGGGUCCACAGCUAGCACAGAUAAUUUGUGCCCUCUCUCAGUAAGCAUUUUUCCAAAAUAUUCUAUAAAUGUUGAUUUUCCAGCACCAGGGGGCCCAGACAAUCCUACGGUGGAAAGAGAUCUUCUAAUUCAAUGAAACAAAUGAAAUCAGAACUACGAUCAGUUUUACUGAGUAAAAUAUUAGACUACCUUCUAUUUCCCCUAAUGUAUUAAAACCAC